ACGGAGGGUGCAAGCGUUAUCCGGAUUUACUGGGUUUAAAGGGUGCGUAGGUGGGUCUGUAAGUCAGUGGUGAAAUCUUCAAGCUUAACUUGGAAACUGCCAUUGAUACUAUAGGUCUUGAAUUAUCUGGAGGUGAGCGGAAUAUGUCAUGUAGCGGUGAAAUGCUUAGAUAUGACAUAGAACACCAAUUGCGAAGGCAGCUCACUACGGAUUUAUUGACACUGAGGCACGAAAGCGUGGGGAUCAAACAGGAUUAGAUACCCUGGUAGUCCACGCCCUAAACGAUGGAUACUCGACAUACGCGAUAUACUGUGUGUGUCUGAGCGAAAGCAUUAAGUAUCCCACCUGGGAAGUACGAUCGCAAGAUUG
Molecule: ribosomal RNA, 369 nt
Filed under: uncultured bacterium
Lineage: Bacteria
Description: bacterial SSU rRNA
Rfam family: Bacterial small subunit ribosomal RNA
Source: RNAcentral